This 986-nucleotide ribosomal RNA is filed under the name Nectriopsis tremellicola. Its description in RNAcentral is "partial large subunit ribosomal RNA". It matches the Rfam family "Eukaryotic large subunit ribosomal RNA", at positions 1 to 1035 of the family's 3401-position model. Lineage: Eukaryota; Fungi; Ascomycota; Sordariomycetes; Hypocreales; Bionectriaceae. The record is from RNAcentral.
CUGCUGGUAAAGGUCAUUACGUAUUACUUUACUUACCGGAGGAAAAGAAACCAACAGGGAUUGCCCCAGUAACGGCGAGUGAAGCGGCAACAGCUCAAAUUUGAAAUCUGGUCCCUAGGGCCCGAGUUGUAAUUUGUAGAGGAUGCUUUGGGUGAGGAACCGCCCGAGUUCCCUGGAACGGGACGCCACAGAGGGUGAGAGCCCCGUCUGGUGGAUGCCGAGCCUCUGUAAAGCUCCUUCGACGAGUCGAGUAGUUUGGGAAUGCUGCUCUAAAUGGGAGGUAUAUGUCUUCUAAAGCUAAAUAUUGGCCAGAGACCGAUAGCGCACAAGUAGAGUGAUCGAAAGAUGAAAAGCACUUUGAAAAGAGGGUUAAAUAGUACGUGAAAUUGUUGAAAGGGAAGCGCUCAUGACCAGACUUGGGCUUGGGGAAUCAUCCAGCGUUCUCGCUGGUGCACUUCGCCUCGUUCAGGCCAGCAUCAGUUCGCUUCGGGGGAUAAAGACUUUGGGAACGUGGCUCCUCCGGGAGUGUUAUAGCCCAUUGUGUAAUACCCUGAGGUGGACUGAGGUUCGCGCAUCUGCAAGGAUGCUGGCGUAAUGGUCAUCAGCGACCCGUCUUGAAACACGGACCAAGGAGUCGUCCUCGUAUGCGAGUGUUCGGGUGUAAAACCCCUACGCGUAAUGAAAGUGAACGCAGGUGAGAGCUUCGGCGCAUCAUCGACCGAUCCUGAUGUUCUCGGAUGGAUUUGAGUAAGAGCAUACGGGGCCGGACCCGAAAGAAGGUGAACUAUGCCUGUAUAGGGUGAAGCCAGAGGAAACUCUGGUGGAGGCUCGCAGCGGUUCUGACGUACAAAUCGAUCGUCAAAUAUGGGCAUGGGGGCGAAAGACUAAUCGAACCUUCUAGUAGCUGGUUUCCGCCGAAGUUUCCCUCAGGAUAGCAGUGUUGACUCAGUUUUAUGAGGUAAAGCGAAUGAUUAGGGACUCGGGGG